GAUGAAGAACGUAGCGAAAUGCGAUACUUGGUGUGAAUUGCAGAAUCCCGUGAACCAUCGAGUCUUUGAACGCAAGUUGCGCCUCAAGCCAUUAGGUUGAGGGCACGUCUGCCUGGGCGUCACAUAUCGUUGCCUGAUGCCAGUUUCCUCGUGAUGGGUGACUGUGCAGGGCGAAUGAUGGCUUCCCGUGAGCAUUGUUGCCUCAUGGUUGGUUGAAAAUUGAGUCCUUGGUAGGGAGCGCCGUGAUAGAUGGUGGUUGAGUGACGAACGACACCCAAUCAUGUGAGACCCCUACCGAAUUUGGCCUUCAUGACCCACAUGCGUCUUUGGAACGCUCAUGACGAGACCUCAGGUCAGGCGGGGCUACCCGCUGAGUUUAAGCAUAUCAAUAAGCGGAGGA
Molecule: unclassified non-coding RNA, 400 nt
Filed under: soil metagenome
Description: partial contains 5.8S ribosomal RNA, internal transcribed spacer 2, and large subunit ribosomal RNA
Rfam family: 5.8S ribosomal RNA (bases 1-122)
Source: RNAcentral